This 497-nucleotide ribosomal RNA is filed under the name uncultured bacterium. RNAcentral's name for it is "partial 16S ribosomal RNA". It matches the Rfam family "Bacterial small subunit ribosomal RNA", at positions 28 to 507 of the family's 1533-position model. The record is from RNAcentral.
GAUGAACGCUGGCGGCGUGCCUAAUACAUGCAAGUCGAGCGAACAGACGAGGAGCUUGCUCCUCUGACGUUAGCGGCUGACGGGUGAGUAACACGUGGAUAACCUACCUAUAAGACUUGGAUAACUUCGGGAAACCGGAUCUACUACCGGAUAAUAUAUUGAACCGCAUGGUUCAAUAGUUCAAGACGGUUUUGCUGUCACUUAUAGCUGGAUCCGCGCCGCAUUAGCUAGUUGGUAAGGUACCGGCUUACCAAGGCAAAGAUGCGUAGCCGACCUGAGAGGGUGAUCGGCCACACUGGAACUGAGACACGGUCCAGACUCCUACGGGAGGCAGCAGUAGGGAAUAUUCCGCAAUGGGCGAAAGCUUGACGGAGCAACGCCGCGUGAGUGAAGAAGGUCUUCGGAUUGUAAAACUCUGUUAUUAGGGAAGAAAAAAUGUGGAAGUAACUAUGCACGUCUUGACGGUACCUAAUCAGAAAGCCACGGCUAACUACGUG